AUGCAGUCGAACGGUGAACACGGAGCUUGCUCUGUGGGAUCAGUGGCGAACGGGUGAGUAACACGUGAGCAACCUGCCCCUGACUCUGGGAUAAGCGCUGGAAACGGCGUCUAAUACUGGAUAUGUGACGUGACCGCAUGGUCUGCGUCUGGAAAGAAUUUCGGUUGGGGAUGGGCUCGCGGCCUAUCAGCUUGUUGGUGAGGUAAUGGCUCACCAAGGCGUCGACGGGUAGCCGGCCUGAGAGGGUGACCGGCCACACUGGGACUGAGACACGGCCCAGACUCCUACGGGAGGCAGCAGUGGGGAAUAUUGCACAAUGGGCGCAAGCCUGAUGCAGCAACGCCGCGUGAGGGACGACGGCCUUCGGGUUGUAAACCUCUUUUAGCAGGGAAGAAGCGAAAGUGACGGUACCUGCAGAAAAAGCGCCGGCUAACUACGUGCCAGCAGCCGCGGUAAUACGUAGGGCGCAAGCGUUAUCCGGAAUUAUUGGGCGUAAAGAGCUCGUAGGCGGUUUGUCGCGUCUGCUGUGAAAUCCGGAGGCUCAACCUCCGGCCUGCAGUGGGUACGGGCAGACUAGAGUGCGGUAGGGGAGAUUGGAAUUCCUGGUGUAGCGGUGGAAUGCGCAGAUAUCAGGAGGAACACCGAUGGCGAAGGCAGAUCUCUGGGCCGUAACUGACGCUGAGGAGCGAAAGGGUGGGGAGCAAACAGGCUUAGAUACCCUGGUAGUCCACCCCGUAAACGUUGGGAACUAGUUGUGGGGUCCAUUCCACGGAUUCCGUGACGCAGCUAACGCAUUAAGUUCCCCGCCUGGGGAGUAC
RNAcentral lists this ribosomal RNA (818 nucleotides) under Microbacterium sp. MJ432. RNAcentral describes it as "bacterial SSU rRNA". It matches the Rfam family "Bacterial small subunit ribosomal RNA", at positions 55 to 883 of the family's 1533-position model. The record is from RNAcentral. Lineage: Bacteria; Bacillati; Actinomycetota; Actinomycetes; Micrococcales; Microbacteriaceae.